RNAcentral lists this long non-coding RNA (348 nucleotides) under Olea europaea (common olive). RNAcentral describes it as "long non-coding RNA (OEUR_LNC004210)". The record is from RNAcentral. Lineage: Eukaryota; Viridiplantae; Streptophyta; Magnoliopsida; Lamiales; Oleaceae.
AUGUGUGGCAGAUCCAUCCAAACACUUUUGACAUCCGUUUCAUCGAUGCUUGAGGCAUGUUGCUUACCAUUGUAUAAGAUCAAAUCCUGCACGUGCUGAAUAUGGGAGGAAAUAACCUCAGCUAAGAUCUAGUCGUCCAAUGUGAGUUGUUUGCCUUAAGAAAGAAAAAUAAGUUAAAAUCACGUCCAUUGUACUAUUGCGAUUUAUUAAAUAUUACAUAUCAAGCAUGCUCUUAGCAUAUUGUAUAGCUUUAUUUUAUUGGAUAGAGCAUAGUUUAAUCUGUGUAAUUGUUUCUUUUGUAAUGAACUUGGUUUAUUAUCAUUGGUUACUGUAAAAAUGUUAACUGCG